UACGGAGGGUGCGAACGUUAAUCGGAAUCACUGGGCGUAAAGCGCGCGUAGGCGGUUCGUUAAGUGGGAUGUGAAAUCCCCGGGCUUAACCUGGGAAUUGCAUUUCAAACUGGCCGACUAGAGUACGGUAGAGGGAGGUAGAAUUUCCUGUGUAGCGGUGAAAUGCGUAGAUAUAGGAAGGAAUACCAGUGGCGAAGGCGGCCUCCUGGAUCGAUACUGACGCUGAGGCGCGAAAGCGUGGGGAGCAAACAGG
This 253-nucleotide ribosomal RNA is filed under the name uncultured bacterium. Its description in RNAcentral is "partial 16S ribosomal RNA". It matches the Rfam family "Bacterial small subunit ribosomal RNA", at positions 524 to 776 of the family's 1533-position model. The record is from RNAcentral.